RNAcentral lists this ribosomal RNA (373 nucleotides) under uncultured organism. Its description in RNAcentral is "partial 16S ribosomal RNA". It matches the Rfam family "Bacterial small subunit ribosomal RNA", at positions 527 to 896 of the family's 1533-position model. The record is from RNAcentral.
GUAGGUGGCAAGCGUUGUCCGGAAUUAUUGGGCGUAAAGCGCGCGCAGGCGGUUCUUUAAGUCUGAUGUGAAAGCCCACGGCUCAACCGUGGAGGGUCAUUGGAAACUGGAGAACUUGAGUACAGAAGAGGAAAGCGGAAUUCCACGUGUAGCGGUGAAAUGCGUAGAGAUGUGGAGGAACACCAGUGGCGAAGGCGGCUUUCUGGUCUGUAACUGACGCUGAGGCGCGAAAGCGUGGGGAGCAGACAGGAUUAGAUACCCUGGUAGUCCACGCCGUAAACGAUGAGUGCUAAGUGUUAGGGGGGUUUCCGCCCCCCUUAGUGCUGCAGCUAACGCAUUAAGCACUCCGCCUGGGAGUACGGCCGCAAGGCUG